Pecten maximus is the source of this 468-nucleotide long non-coding RNA. RefSeq lists it as uncharacterized. The transcript has 4 exons. The record is from RefSeq and is a predicted model, not a curated record. Lineage: Eukaryota; Metazoa; Mollusca; Bivalvia; Pectinida; Pectinidae.
CCGGACACGUGGUCACUUACCUGUACAGUAUAAAUAGCGAUUGGUCAGUCUUGGAAAUCAUCUUCCGAUCAUCCAUCCACCGUCAAGAAUCCUAGCUCGCCAGGCAACCAGUCACGAUGAACAAGACUUUGAUGCUCGUACUGAUCCCUUGCCUGUUGGCUUACGUCAUGGCCCAGUAUUACGACGCACGGCCUGGAUACGGUGGAUACGGAGGUCCUGGAUACUACUAUAACUACGCCCUCCAGAGCGCCCAGGGAGCCAAAACCAGCAACCUCUUGAACUUCGGUCUCCUCUUCUUCGCCAUCCUCAUCUUGACCAACGCCACCGGAAGUAUCACUGGUUAAACGUAGUUUCCAGAAACUGACAUGCACACUACACAAAUGAUCAAAUGAAUUCCACAGACGUCCUGUUAUAACUGGUAUUGCGCCGUAUAUUUGUUGCUUGAAUAAAACAUAACUUAAACCUAUA